Molecule: ribosomal RNA, 533 nt
Filed under: uncultured bacterium
Lineage: Bacteria
Description: bacterial SSU rRNA
Rfam family: Bacterial small subunit ribosomal RNA
Source: RNAcentral
AAGAACGCUGGCGGCGUGCUUAACACAUGCAAGUCGCACGAGAACGUCUUAGCUUGCUAAGAUCAGUAAAGUGGCGCACGGGUGAGUAACGCGUGGGUAAUCUACCUCCGAAUUGGGGAUAACAUUGCGAAAGCGAUGCUAAUACCGGAUAAUAUCUUAAAAACUUCGGUUUUAAAGAUCAAAGGUGGCCUCUACAUGUAAGCCUCUGUUUGGAGAUGAGCCCGCGUACCAUUAGCUUGUUGGUAGGGUAAUGGCCUACCAAGGCGACGAUGGUUAGCUGGUCUGAGAGGAUGAUCAGCCACACUGGAACUGACACACGGUCCAGACUCCUACGGGAGGCAGCAGUGAGGAAUUUUGCGCAAUGGGGGAAACCCUGACGCAGCAACGCCGCGUGAGUGAUGAGGGCUUUCGGGUCGUAAAGCUCUGUCAAGUGGGAAGAACCCACAUGGUGAUAAUACCACCAUGUGCUGACGGUACCACUAAAGGAAGCACCGGCUAACUCCGUGCCAGCAGCCGCGGUAAUACGGGGGGUG